Molecule: long non-coding RNA, 216 nt
Filed under: Trifolium pratense (red clover)
Lineage: Eukaryota; Viridiplantae; Streptophyta; Magnoliopsida; Fabales; Fabaceae
Description: long non-coding RNA (TPRA_LNC008867)
Source: RNAcentral
GUCACAAUUCAUUUACACAAAAUCUCAAACACUCAAAGUAUCCAUGUUAAGGCGAGAAACGAGUUACUCGAGAAAGAUGUAUGAAUCAGUGAACCUUUAUACUUUCUUUGUAAUUUUUACAUUCUAAAUGCAAAUUUACUUUCCAUAAGUCUUUAUUUUCUAAAGCAUUUACAAAUUCUGCAUUUUAUUGGUUCUCUCGUUCGAGUGAACUUACUU